Molecule: long non-coding RNA, 1687 nt
Organism: Gallus gallus (chicken)
Lineage: Eukaryota; Metazoa; Chordata; Aves; Galliformes; Phasianidae
Exons: 4
Source: RefSeq, a predicted model, not a curated record
AAGGGCUGAUGGCCCCUGAGGAAGGAUGUCUUGUUGGAGCUCUCUCCUUUGUGGAGUUUUUCUGUGAGCCUGGGUCUUUAGAGACAGAUGCUCCCUGCCUCCAUUUCUCAGAGGAAGCCUGAGAGAAACAAGCACUGCUGACCUGCUGGCACCAGCAACAGGAAGAGCAGCCCUGUGUUUCCCUGCCCCAGCAGUGCACCUGUUCCUGGGGGCUGGAAGCAGUGUUGCUAUUAAUUGGCUGAAGUUGCCCUAUAAAACUUGAGCUUUAAGACUCAGAAACCUGAUAGCAGCUUGGAGUUCCCUUGGAAAUCACCAGAUGUGGCCCAAGAGCACCUAAAAGGAAGAGAGUAGUGAAACUGCUGCUCCUGAAAAUAAAGUAACUGAAUAAAGAUGAGACGGAGAGCUGUCUGAUUGCAAACUCCUCAUGCGGGAGGUUCUUCAGCAUCAGGUCCACAAUGGAUCUGUCAACUUCAGCAUUCCACAAACCACUCUGAACACGUCCUCUCUCACUCAGUACCUGAGUAGUGGGACUCAUAAAACCCUGCCUGCGUUGUGCAUCCAUGGAAGCCUCAAGAGCUCAUCCUGCCCCGACGGGUUCCCUUUCAAACCUGGAGUGAGAAGCAUCAGAGCAAAACAGGGCAUAAGGAUUUCCUUCCUUUUGUCAGCUUAAACGACGAUUUCUGCUUACAAACCGUCCCUCAAGAUAGCAGUAUUCACCCAGAGAGAGCCUGGAUUUAACUCCUUGCUUAAACACACAGUCUAUGGUACCUGCAGCAUCACCACACACCAGGAAUGCUGGUGGGGUGUGACAAAAGUCUUUGCUUAACCCUUCACGUAUGUAAACUUUUUGCCUCUCAAGAGUCUCAGUCAUAGAGUCUAUAUUAAAGAUGUCAUCCAUUGCUUUCAUAAAACAAGGACUGUCAGGGCAAAUUGUUGCUUUGAAUUUAUUGGAAUUCUAUUCACAAUUCAUUGUGGUUUAAACGUAAUGUUCCACUAAAUCAGAAACAAAACAUUUUGAGAAGCUUAUUAUUCCCCCCUAAAGCAUCUGAAUGUAUUUCUAAACUUAGAUCUUUUUUUUUUCUACUCUAAGGGUAACUCUUCAGGUAUCUUAGAGUUGAACCCAUUCAUCAACAUGCACAAAGCAGUAAAAUUACUUGGCUGAUCCAUUCCUGCAGUUUAACAGAAAAGACAGUGAAACCCUCGACCUUUACUAUGAAGGGGAAAUAAGUUUCACAUUAAAUUUCUCUUUCCAGUGGGAUUUUACAAAACUUAGAAUAGUCAAAAGUAUAUAUUUUUCUUUUAAAAUUAUCCAAGAGUUAGCGUUACAAGACUGUGGUGGCUGCAGGGAGAGCAGACAAAUUAAACUGACUCAAAUCAACACCAACAAAUACAACAGCGUUGUCUACGCUUGGAGAGAGGGAAGAUAUAAUCAAACAACACAGUGCACAGGGAAACCAUCAUCCUUCCUUUUUAGCGAGCCAGGUACUUGCUGUUACAUCAGUAAAGACAUGCUUUCCAGCCAUUACAAAUUGUACACUCCACAGCCAUUUAGCCAUACAGCAAACACACAACUUUAGCUUAUGUCUCUGCUUUUUGCUUUCCCCUUGGACAGAUGAGACACUGCAUUACACAAACGUAGGACAAGCAAGUGGCAUCUCUGCUGCACAACGUGGAUGAGACUCACCAG